Molecule: ribosomal RNA, 497 nt
Filed under: uncultured bacterium
Lineage: Bacteria
Description: partial 16S ribosomal RNA
Rfam family: Bacterial small subunit ribosomal RNA
Source: RNAcentral
GAUGAACGCUGGCGGCGUGCCUAAUACAUGCAAGUCGAGCGAACGGACGAGAAGCUUGCUUCUCUGAUGUUAGCGGCGGACGGGUGAGUAACACGUGGAUAACCUACCUAUAAGACUGGGAUAACUUCGGGAAACCGGAGCUAAUACCGGAUAAUAUUUUGAACCGCAUGGUUCAAAAGUGAAAGACGGUCUUGCUGUCACUUAUAGAUGGAUCCGCGCUGCAUUAGCUAGUUGGUAAGGUAACGGCUUACCAAGGCAACGAUGCAUAGCCGACCUGAGAGGGUGAUCGGCCAAACUGGAACUGAGACACGGUCCAGACUCCUACGGGAGGCAGCAGUAGGGAAUCUUCCGCAAUGGGCGAAAGACUGACGGAGCAACGCCGCGUGAGUGAUGAAGGUCUUCGGAUCGUAAAACUCUGUUAUUAGGGAAGAACAUAUGUGUAAGUAACUGUGCACAUCUUGACGGUACCUAAUCAGAAAGCCACGGCUAACUACGUG